CCGGCGCACGGGUGAGUAACGCGUAUCCAACCUUCCCAUUACUGUGGGAUAACCUGCCGAAAGGCAGACUAAUACCGCAUAGUCUUCGAUGACGGCAUCAGAUUUGAAGUAAAGAUUUAUCGGUAAUGGAUGGGGAUGCGUCUGAUUAGCUUGUUGGCGGGGUAACGGCCCACCAAGGCAACGAUCAGUAGGGGUUCUGAGAGGAAGGUCCCCCACAUUGGAACUGAGACACGGUCCAAACUCCUACGGGAGGCAGCAGUGAGGAAUAUUGGUCAAUGGACGGAAGUCUGAACCAGCCAAGUAGCGUGCAGGAUGACGGCCCUAUGGGUUGUAAACUGCUUUUGUAUGGGGAUAAAGUUAGGGACGUGUCCCUAUUUGCAGGUACCAUACGAAUAAGGACCGGCUAAUUCCGUGCCAGCAGCCGCGGUAAUACGGAAGGUCCAGGCGUUAUCCGGAUUUAUUAGGUUUAAAGGGAGCGUAGGCUGGAGAUUAAGUGUGUUGUGAAAUGUAGACGCUCAACGUCUGAAUUGCAGCGCAUACUGGUCUCCUUGAGUACGCACAACGUUGGCGGAAUUCGUCGUGUAGCGGUGGAAUGCUUAGAUAUGACGAAGAACUCCGAUUGCGAAGGCAGCUGACGGGAGCGCAACUGACGCUUAAGCUCGAAGGUGCGGGUAUCAAACAGGAUUAGAUANCCUGGUAGUCCGCACAGUAAACGAUGGAUGCCCGCUGUUGGUACCUGGUAUCAGCGGCUAAGCG
This 756-nucleotide ribosomal RNA is filed under the name uncultured Bacteroidota bacterium. RNAcentral's name for it is "bacterial SSU rRNA". It matches the Rfam family "Bacterial small subunit ribosomal RNA", at positions 95 to 853 of the family's 1533-position model. The record is from RNAcentral. Lineage: Bacteria; Pseudomonadati; Bacteroidota.